RNAcentral lists this ribosomal RNA (770 nucleotides) under uncultured bacterium. RNAcentral describes it as "bacterial SSU rRNA". It matches the Rfam family "Bacterial small subunit ribosomal RNA", at positions 8 to 796 of the family's 1533-position model. The record is from RNAcentral.
AGAGUUUGAUCCUGGCUCAGGACGAACGCUGGCGGCGUGCUUAACACAUGCAAGUCGAGCGGAAAGGCCCUUCGGGGUACUCGAGCGGCGAACGGGUGAGUAACACGUGGGCAACCUGCCCUCAGCUCUGGGAUAACUCCGGGAAACCGGGGCUAAUACCGGAUACGACCUUCCCUCGCAUGGGGGUUGGUGGAAAGUUCUUCGGCUGAGGAUGGGCCCGCGGCCUAUCAGCUUGUUGGUGGGGUGAUGGCCUACCAAGGCGACGACGGGUAGCCGGCCUGAGAGGGCGACCGGCCACACUGGGACUGAGACACGGCCCAGACUCCUACGGGAGGCAGCAGUGGGGAAUAUUGCGCAAUGGGCGGAAGCCUGACGCAGCGACGCCGCGUGAGGGAUGAAGGCCUUCGGGUUGUAAACCUCUUUCAGCAGGGACGAAGCGAGAGUGACGGUACCUGCAGAAGAAGCACCGGCCAACUACGUGCCAGCAGCCGCGGUAAUACGUAGGGUGCAAGCGUUGUCCGGAAUUAUUGGGCGUAAAGAGCUCGUAGGCGGUCUGUCGCGUCGGCUGUGAAAACUCGGGGCUCAACCCCGAGCCUGCAGUCGAUACGGGCAGACUAGAGUGCUGUAGGGGAGACUGGAAUUCCUGGUGUAGCGGUGAAAUGCGCAGAUAUCAGGAGGAACACCGGUGGCGAAGGCGGGUCUCUGGGCAGUAACUGACGCUGAGGAGCGAAAGCGUGGGGAGCGAACAGGAUUAGAUACCCUAGUAGUCC